This 292-nucleotide ribosomal RNA is filed under the name uncultured bacterium. Its description in RNAcentral is "partial 16S ribosomal RNA". It matches the Rfam family "Bacterial small subunit ribosomal RNA", at positions 505 to 796 of the family's 1533-position model. The record is from RNAcentral.
GUGUCAGCCGCCGCGGUAAUACGUAGGUGGCAAGCGUUGUCCGGAAUUAUUGGGCGUAAAGCGCGCGCAGGCGGUCCUUUAAGUCUGAUGUGAAAUCUCGCGGCUCAACCGCGAGCGGUCAUUGGAAACUGGGGGACUUGAGUGCAGAAGAGGAAAGUGGAAUUCCACGUGUAGCGGUGAAAUGCGUAGAGAUGUGGAGGAACACCAGUGGCGAAGGCGACUUUCUGGUCUGUAACUGACGCUGAGGCGCGAAAGCGUGGGGAGCAAACAGGAUUAGAAACCCCCGUAGUCC